AUAUUUUGGUUUUUCCCUUUUUGUAAUGAUGAACCGUAGGGUGUAUUUUUG
RNAcentral lists this non-coding RNA (51 nucleotides) under Plasmodium falciparum 3D7. Lineage: Eukaryota; Apicomplexa; Aconoidasida; Haemosporida; Plasmodiidae. The record is from RNAcentral.